This 288-nucleotide long non-coding RNA is filed under the name Ananas comosus (pineapple). RNAcentral describes it as "long non-coding RNA (ACOM_LNC022160)". Lineage: Eukaryota; Viridiplantae; Streptophyta; Magnoliopsida; Poales; Bromeliaceae. The record is from RNAcentral.
GCACAAGCAAUUCACAUAACCAUCAAGUCUAAUGCUGCUUUAUGACAUUAGCUUACCAAGUCCAUACCUAGUCCAAGCCUAAUACCGCUUUAUGACAUUAGCUUACUGUUUGUAUACACUCUAACCUAUCUCACUUAAUGACGAUAUGUCCAACCAUGUCAAGCAUGCAUUCUAAGUCCAAGAGUGUAAUCUAUAUGCCAUAUGCACCAUAUGCAACAUGAUCUCAAUCAAAUGUAAGAAUGCUAAUCAUAGGCCCCUAGCCCAACAUGAAAACUCUCUACUAUAUAG